Molecule: long non-coding RNA, 230 nt
Filed under: Elaeis guineensis (African oil palm)
Lineage: Eukaryota; Viridiplantae; Streptophyta; Magnoliopsida; Arecales; Arecaceae
Description: long non-coding RNA (EGUI_LNC070515)
Source: RNAcentral
UUGGGAAAUGUGUCCCAAAAAGCCAAUCGUCAAGCUGUUGACGGUUGAGCAACCAAGUAUUGUAAUUGAUUUAUUAAUAAAUAAAAUAUAUUUGGCAUCUUCAUCAUAAGCUUUCAUCUUCUAAUGAACUCUGUUGUUAUGAUGAAGUCCUUAGGACUAUUUAGGUUCGAUAAAGAGAGGAUUUAUCGAUUAGUCCUUAAAACUAUUCACGACCAAAUGAUAGGCUGUUA